CUUGCUUUCUUUGCUGGCGACCGGCGCACGGGUGAGUAACACGUAUCCAACCUGCCCUUUACUCGGGGAUAGCCUUUCGAAAGAAAGAUUAAUACCCGAUAGCAUAAUGAUUCCGCAUGGUUUCAUUAUUAAAGGAUUCCGGUAAAGGAUGGGGAUGCGUUCCAUUAGGUUGUUGGUGGGGUAACGGCCCACCAGCUUCGAUGGAUAGGGGUUCUGAGAGGAAGGUCCCCCACAUUGGAACUGAGACACGGUCCAA
Molecule: ribosomal RNA, 256 nt
Filed under: uncultured bacterium
Lineage: Bacteria
Description: partial 16S ribosomal RNA
Rfam family: Bacterial small subunit ribosomal RNA
Source: RNAcentral